Long non-coding RNA from Talpa occidentalis (Iberian mole), 1128 nucleotides. RefSeq lists it as uncharacterized. Lineage: Eukaryota; Metazoa; Chordata; Mammalia; Eulipotyphla; Talpidae. The record is from RefSeq and is a predicted model, not a curated record. The transcript has 8 exons.
CCUGGUGCAGUCCCCCGCCCCCUUUCUUCAGCAAAGAAUUCAGAAACCUCAGUGAUUCCAAAAGGUCCAGAUGGAACAGCAGAGAGUCUCUAUGUGACCUUGGGAAGAAGUAUUUGAACUGGCUUUUGACUGAAUUAUAGUCUUUGGCUGGACAGUAGAAGAAGGCAAACCUAUUCCUGGACCAAGAGGAUUCACAUGAUUAAAACCACAGAAGACUCUUGAAUUCCAAAAUGACCCUGGGUAGAGAUUUCACUAACAUCCUAUGAAGGGAGAGGAAAAGUGAAAAAAAAAGGGCAGGUAGCAGGAAUGAUCUGAAGAAUCUGGAGUGGGGUGAGGACUCCUGAAGGAAGGAUGAAAGAUAUCUAUCAUCUGGGAUGGAUGAAGCCAUGCAUGGAGCCAUGAUAGGAAGAUGAGACUUCUGUGCUGGGAGGUUCUGUAAAAGUCAGAAGAAGCUAGGCUGAAGAAAAUGUCUCUUUGUGGGUGCUCUGGAGAUGAUUCCUAUACCUAUAUAAUCACAUAGACGUAUACCCAGGAUUAUAAGGAAAUUGGAUUUUGGACACAGUGAGAAGAUGACCACCUGCAAGAUAGGAAGUGAAUUGGUGAGAGUUGAAUUAGUUUAGAGGCUACAGAAUAUUGGAAGAUCACAAUAGACGUGUUAUUGGAGCUGGAUACAGUACUUGGUAAGACACAAUGUCUUUGGGUGCUCCCUGGACCCCAUUUUUGGCAUAAGGUGGACAACUUUAUUGAUUACAGGAGGGAUAGCUACAUUUAUUAAACAGAAAUAUUUUUAAAAAUCAAAUACCUGGGCAGCAGGAUGUAUGUUGAUGUUGAACAGCUAAAAACAUGGACGCUUGUUGACUGUUUUGACAGCCGGCAUCCAAAGGGUCUCUCUCUGUGUGGGAGAUUCACAACCUUAUGUGUCUUGGGGGUAGUCAGAGCUUGUUUCCUAUAGUAGGUGGACUUUCCAAGCUGGAGUUAAGCGCUUUCCCAGCCUGCCUUGCAAACAGGCACAGACACAUGACCUGGAAUCCAGUAAUCAGACUCAUCCACCCAGAGGUGGAAACUAGAGCUAGAAAGUGCCACGAGGCAAGAGCUAUGAGGGCACCUAGUGGCAGCAACUGUCCCAAU